GAAAAAGGGCUUGUUAUUUACAAGAUCUCUAAUUUAUGUUGUAUAGUUGUAAUUUGAAUUUAUAAAUGAAUUUUAUUAUUAGGAGUAGAUUUAUGAAAUGAUUUUUUACUAUAGUGUAUAAGUACUGUGAAGGAAAUAUGAAAUAAUUGAAAAUUAAAUAUUAAAUAAGUACUUUUAUUGAGGGUACCUUUUGUAUCAGGGAUUAUUAAAUUUUUAUUUUUAUAAUUAAUUCUCGAAAAUAAAAGAUUUAAUAAAUUAUAAUGGUUUUUGUGUUAAAAAGAUCAUAAAUAUUUUAUUAGGAGUCAAAUGUGAUUCGGUUUUAUAAGUAUCUAGUAGAUUUUGAAUAAAAUUUAGUUUAAAAGGUUGAGAGUGGAAUUAAUUUGUUAAAAUUUUGCUUAUAGAUUUUUUUAUUUUUUAGGGGUUGAGCUCUAGAAAUUUUUAAUAAUUUUUUAGAAAAUUGUUUUUAAAUUAGGCUUAGAAUUAGCUAUCUGAAAGUUUUAUAAGAUAGAAAAUUAAGUAAGUUAUUUAAUUAAGUUUUAAUAUUUAAAUGUCUAAAAUCUUGAAUAGAAUGAAGAUUGGAAAUAAUGAUAGUAUUAGUAGAUUUGAAAAAAAUUUUGGGUUAUUUAUAAGAUUUUCUUAAGAUUUUUUUAUUUUAAUAAUAUGUUAAAAGAACUCGGCAAAUAAAAUUUCCGAAUGUUUAACAAAAACAUUUCCUCUUUUUAGGGAGGUAAGGCCUGCUCACUGAUUUUUAAAGAGCCGCAGUAUUUUGACUGUGCAAAGGUAGCAUAAUCAUUAGUCCUUUAAUAGGGGGCUGGAAUGAAUGGCUAAACGAGAAAUUGACUUUUUUUAAUAUAAAAUUUGAAUUUAAUUUUUUAGUGAAAAAGCUAAAAUUUUCUAAAAAGACGAGAAGACCCUAAGAGUUUUAUUUUUAAUUAAAACAGAAAUUUUUAGGUAUAAUAGUUUUGGUUUUAUGUGAAGAUUUUGUUGGGGCGACAUUGAGAUAAAAGAAACUCUUUAUGGAGAAAAACUUUAAUGAAAGUUAAAUUUAUUGAUCCUUUAUAAAGGAUUAGAAGUGAAAUUACCUUAGGGAUAACAGCGUAAUCUUUUUUGAGAGUUCUAAUCGACAAAAAGGUUUGCGACCUCGAUGUUGGAUUAAAUUUUAAGCAAGGUGUAGUCGCUUUGUUUUUAGGUCUGUUCGACCUAUAAUAAUUUACAUGAUCUGAGUUCAGACCGGCGUGAGCCAGGUUGGUUUCUAUCUUUUAGAUUUAAUAAGAUUGGCUUAGUACGAAAGGAUUGGUCAAUUAUAAUAAUUAUUUUAUAAUUUGAGUAUUAUUAAAUUUUUAAAAUAAGUUUGGCAGAAUAUAUGUAUUAGACUUAGAAUCUAAAAAUAAGAAUU
Molecule: ribosomal RNA, 1396 nt
Filed under: Ashinkailepas seepiophila
Lineage: Eukaryota; Metazoa; Arthropoda; Thecostraca; Neolepadidae
Description: 16S ribosomal RNA
Rfam family: Archaeal large subunit ribosomal RNA (bases 642-1396)
Source: RNAcentral